AAAUAAUGUACUACAGAACUCAUAUUCAACUCUAGUUAACGGUGAAAAUGUGACCCUAACACCCCAAAGCAAUCUUGCCAAAACUCACAAGGCUUUCUCACUCUUCUUCACCGUCUGUCUGUCUGUCUUCUCUCCGCCAAAACGACUCUUCUUUGAAAUCUCAUAUAACCGCCAAACAAUCUUUCAAAACUGUAGAAUCCUCCUUUCAUCUUCUUGCAGCCAUGGAAACUGAAACUGAAAUGCUCAACGCUUACUUCACAAAUGGCGCAGAAGUUGAGAUUAGCAGUGAUGAGGACGGUUUUCGAGGCGCGUGGUAUGAGGGAACAGUUGUACGACCCAUUCAGAAGAAACAGAGGAGGAAUAUAGACGACGAAGAGGAGGAGGAGAGUAGAAACAAGCUGCGGGUGUUGGUGGAGUACAAAACGCUGAUGGCGGAUAAAAAAGGUAAACGGCCGCUGAAGGAGGCAAUGACCUUAGUUCAGUUGCGUCCACGGCCGCCACCUGAACGGAGGAGGAAGUUCAAGGUCAGUGAUGAGGUGGAUGCUUAUUACAACGAUGGGUGGUGGGAGGGUGUGGUCAUGGAGGUGUCGAGUGAUGGGAAGUACUCCGUGUUCUUCAGGGGAACAAGGGACCAGCUGGAAUUUGAGGAAUCUCAGAUACGGAUCCACCGUGAAUGGGCCAAUGGCGAGUGGACCCCACCAUUUGAGGACGAAGAAGAAGAAAAAGAGAAACUUGUAUCUACUGAAAUGAAACCCAACAACGAAGCUGCAGAAAUUUUUAGUGAAGGGUCAUUAGUCGAAGUCAGCAGUGAUGAAGAAGGUUUUGAGGGUGCUUGGUUUGUUGCAACUGUUGUUAAGCUUUUAGAUAAUGGUAACUACCUGAUAGAGUAUCAGAACUUAAGAAACAAUGACGAUACAGAGUUUUUGCAAGAAGAAACUGAUCGUUUGCAUAUACGACCACGUCCACCUGACCUUGGACCUUUUGAAUGCUUCAAAGCCCUUGAAGAAGUUGAUGCUCUGCACAAUGAUGGCUGGUGGGUGGGUGUGAUUUCUAAAGCACUUAAAGGCCAGAGAUACAAUGUUUACUUUAAGGCGAGCAAUGAGGAGUUGGAGUUUAAGCAUGCUGAUAUAAGGCUGCAUCUGGACUGGACCAACGGCAAAUGGGUCAGAGCUUCCCAGGAAUUAAACUUGUGAUCUUCGAGAAAUUGCAAUGUUUGGAGAUCUGCAAUCAGGAUUUGUAGUGUAGCUUCUAAAUGGUUUAACGGAUAAUGUAUUCUGCUCAGGAUUGUAACAUGUAUAGGAUGUGUUCCUAGUUGGAUUAGAAGAUUGGCCUAUCAAGAAUUUGAAAAUGAACCCUGUUCUCCUUUAGAGAAGCCUACAGGUGUGUCAAUAUUGUUGUGCUAAGUUAAAUUGUGUGUCUUGUGUAAGCCAAACCUAUGGAUAACUUCAGUUGUUGUCAACGAUAAUCACUAAAGAACUAUAUUCAUGCAAUAUCCGCCACUUAAACAGAAUUUUGUACUUCUUUUUGUUCUUAAUUUUCUGCAUCUCUUAUAGUAUUUAUGGGGCGGUAUAUUAUUAACA
This is an RNA transcript of Solanum dulcamara, 1580 nucleotides long. It is a transcript of the gene named protein AGENET DOMAIN (AGD)-CONTAINING P1, with no coding region annotated. Lineage: Eukaryota; Viridiplantae; Streptophyta; Magnoliopsida; Solanales; Solanaceae. The transcript has 4 exons. The record is from RefSeq and is a predicted model, not a curated record.